UUUGAUGGCGACCGGCGCACGGGUGAGUAACACGUAUCCAACCUGCCGAUGACUCGGGGAUAGCCUUUCGAAAGAAAGAUUAAUACCCGAUGGCAUAGUUCUUCCGCAUGGUAGAACUAUUAAAGAAUUUCGGUCAUCGAUGGGGAUGCGUUCCGUUAGCUUGUUGGCGGGGUAACGGCCCACCAAGGCAUCGAUGGAUAGGGGUUCUGAGAGGAAGGUCCCCCACAUUGGAACUGAGACACGGUCCAAACUCCUACGGGAGGCAGCAG
This 269-nucleotide ribosomal RNA is filed under the name uncultured bacterium. Its description in RNAcentral is "partial 16S ribosomal RNA". It matches the Rfam family "Bacterial small subunit ribosomal RNA", at positions 84 to 354 of the family's 1533-position model. The record is from RNAcentral.